GUAAGAGACAAUAUCUAAUCCCACAAGGCACAGCGGUUCAGAUGCUACUCCCACAUAGUCUCCAUGGUGGGAAGCAUUGAAAUUGAAGUUGGGAUACUCCAUGAAGUCACCAUCAUAUUCCUGAGGCAAGAAAUCAACAUGGGCCUUCUGAUUCUGAGGACAUGAACAAGAAUGACGAGGAGAUCAUACCAAGUAUGGCUUUCCUUCAAGACUGCGUCUGAUCGUGAUUUGCUCAAAGGGGAUUCCCAGCACCUCGUGCACUAAAGCAUACUGAAGCAACCUGCUCACCAGCGCCCUCUUCCUAUCCUCUAUCCUCACGAACCUGCCAAUUGCAAGCAGAAGAGAAAAGGGUCAAGAAGAGUCGAGUCGACAUUAUUGUCUCUCCCUUCUGAACGAGCAAAAAGAGGGACCUGAGGACAGAGGGCUGGUCGUGCUGAGGGAGGAGGGAGAGGGCGGAGGAGAAAGCGCGGGGAGAAGGGUCCCACUUUGAGAUGUCGACUAACCAUCUCUGAACUCCCUUCUCCAUCGUCGACUCCUCUUCUCCUCUCUAGAAAACUGAGCCGACAAAUGAUGAGCCACUGCUGCCGGCUAAUAACCGUUGACUUUGUCUUAGUUCUUCUUCUGCUUGCUAAUGCUAUAUCCUUGUAUGGAUUCACCAAAACAACGGAAAUACGUCCUACGUACCAUUCAUUCUUACGGUGGAAUGGAAAGAGAAGGGGAAUAGAGUCGAAGGACUUAUUAUAUAUGAGUUGUUUGCUCGGAGGUUUCAUCAAACGUA
This is a non-coding RNA of Punica granatum (pomegranate), 778 nucleotides long. The record is from RefSeq and is a predicted model, not a curated record. Lineage: Eukaryota; Viridiplantae; Streptophyta; Magnoliopsida; Myrtales; Lythraceae.